AGGCAGCAGUGGGGAAUAUUGCACAAUGGGCGCAAGCCUGAUGCAGCGACGCCGCGUGAGGGAUGAAGGCCUUCGGGUUGUAAACCUCUUUCAGUAGGGAAGAAGCGAAAGUGACGGUACCUGCAGAAGAAGCGCCGGCUAACUACGUGCCAGCAGCCGCGGUAAUACGUAGGGCGCAAGCGUUAUCCGGAAUUAUUGGGCGUAAAGAGCUCGUAGGCGGUUUGUCGCGUCUGCCGUGAAAGUCCGGGGCUUAACUCCGGAUCUGCGGUGGGUACGGGCAGACUAGAGUGCAGUAGGGGAGACUGGAAUUCCUGGUGUAGCGGUGAAAUGCGCAGAUAUCAGGAGGAACACCGAUGGCGAAGGCAGGUCUCUGGGCUGUAACUGACGCUGAGGAUCGAAAGCAUGGGGAGCGAACAGGAUUAGAUACCCUGGAAGUCCAUGCCGUAAACGUUGGGCACUAGGUGUGGGGGACAUUCCACGUUUUCCGCGCC
RNAcentral lists this ribosomal RNA (491 nucleotides) under uncultured bacterium. RNAcentral's name for it is "bacterial SSU rRNA". It matches the Rfam family "Bacterial small subunit ribosomal RNA", at positions 346 to 847 of the family's 1533-position model. The record is from RNAcentral.